GGGGAUUUAGCUCAGCGGCAUAAGCGCCUGCCUUGUAAGCAGGCAGUCGUGGUUCGAUCCCUAGUACCGA
Transfer RNA from Cavia porcellus (domestic guinea pig), 70 nucleotides. It matches the Rfam family "tRNA". Rfam says of the family: Transfer RNA (tRNA) molecules are approximately 80 nucleotides in length. Their secondary structure includes four short double-helical elements and three loops (D, anti-codon, and T loops). The record is from Rfam. NCBI's taxonomy places the organism in Eukaryota, Metazoa, Chordata, Mammalia, Rodentia, Caviidae.